GUGGGAGAUCAUAAGUGGUGCCAAAACCCAGGAACUCGAGUUAUAAAGAAGGAACUGAUCAGGACGUUUCCUGGUGAGCUAUGGGCUGAGUUCCAGUUCGGCUGUUGGCUCAUGGCCUCCCCUGAUCCUUGGUACCUGGGUCAUCUUGGUGGAACAUCUAACAGCGAGCUGGUAUCAUGAGAAGAAGCAAGAGAGGACAAUUAAUCUUCAUAUCUUCUCAGGCUGGAGAAGGCGGGAGCAUCCUGAUCACAGACUACAGGCAACUACUCUUCAGUCUUCCAUUUGGUUCAGUGGUGCAUGCCUGCAAGCCCAGAGACUCUGGAGGCUGUGCAAAUUGGAGACCAACUUGGGCA
Sciurus carolinensis (gray squirrel) is the source of this 353-nucleotide long non-coding RNA. RefSeq lists it as uncharacterized. The transcript has 3 exons. NCBI's taxonomy places the organism in Eukaryota, Metazoa, Chordata, Mammalia, Rodentia, Sciuridae. The record is from RefSeq and is a predicted model, not a curated record.